This 493-nucleotide ribosomal RNA is filed under the name uncultured bacterium. Its description in RNAcentral is "bacterial SSU rRNA". It matches the Rfam family "Bacterial small subunit ribosomal RNA", at positions 28 to 534 of the family's 1533-position model. The record is from RNAcentral.
GACGAACGCUGGCGGCGUGCUUAACACAUGCAAGUCGAACGGUGACGAGGAGCUUGCUCCUCCGAUCAGUGGCGAACGGGUGAGUAACACGUGAGUAACCUGCCCCAGACUCUGGGAUAACAGUUGGAAACAGCUGCUAAUACCGGAUACGAGACGGAGAGGCAUCUCUACCGUCUGGAAAGUUUUUCGGUCUGGGAUGGACUCGCGGCCUAUCAGCUUGUUGGUGAGGUAAUGGCUCACCAAGGCGACGACGGGUAGCCGGCCUGAGAGGGCGACCGGCCACACUGGGACUGAGACACGGCCCAGACUCCUACGGGAGGCAGCAGUGGGGAAUAUUGCACAAUGGGCGAAAGCCUGAUGCAGCGACGCCGCGUGAGGGAUGACAGCCUUCGGGUUGGUAAACCUCUUUCAGCAGGGAAGAAGCGAAAGUGACGGUACCUGCAGAAGAAGCACCGGCUAACUACGUGCCAGCAGCCGCGGUAAAGUAGUCGUG